Molecule: ribosomal RNA, 332 nt
Filed under: uncultured bacterium
Lineage: Bacteria
Description: bacterial SSU rRNA
Rfam family: Bacterial small subunit ribosomal RNA
Source: RNAcentral
AUUGAACGCUGGCGGAAUGCUUUACACAUGCAAGUCGAGCGGCAGCGCGGGGGCAACCCUGGCGGCGAGCGGCGAACGGGUGAGUAAUACAUCGGAACGUGUCCUUAAGUGGGGGAUAGCUCGGCGAAAGCCGGAUUAAUACCGCAUAAGCUCUGAGGAGGAAAGCGGGGGCUCCGUAAGGACCUCGCGCUGUUGGAGCGGCCGAUGUCGGAUUAGCUAGUUGGUGGGGUAAAGGCCCACCAAGGCGACGAUCCGUAGCUGGUCUGAGAGGAUGAUCAGCCACACUGGAACUGAGACACGGUCCAGACUCCUACGGGAGCAGCAGUGGGGAA